GCCUGGGUGGCUCAGUGGGUUAAAGCCUCUGACUUUGGCUCAGAUCAUGAUCCCAGGGUCCUGGGAUCGAGCCCCAUGUCAGGCU
Molecule: transfer RNA, 85 nt
Filed under: Mustela putorius furo (domestic ferret)
Lineage: Eukaryota; Metazoa; Chordata; Mammalia; Carnivora; Mustelidae
Rfam family: tRNA
About the family: Transfer RNA (tRNA) molecules are approximately 80 nucleotides in length. Their secondary structure includes four short double-helical elements and three loops (D, anti-codon, and T loops).
Source: Rfam by way of RNAcentral